AUUGAACGCUGGCGGCAUGCUUUACACAUGCAAGUCGAACGGCAGCGCGGGCUUCGGCCUGGCGGCGAGUGGCGAACGGGUGAGUAAUGCAUCGGAACGUGCCCAGUAGUGGGGGAUAGCCCGGCGAAAGCCGGAUUAAUACCGCAUACGACCUGAGGGUGAAAGCGGGGGACCGAAAGGCCUCGCGCUAUUGGAGCGGCCGAUGUCGGAUUAGCUAGUUGGUGGGGUAAAGGCUUACCAAGGCGACGAUCCGUAGCUGGUCUGAGAGGACGACCAGCCACACUGGGACUGAGACACGGCCCAGAGUCCUACGGGAGGCAGCAGUGGGGAAUUUUGGACAAUGGGGGCAACCCUGAUCCAGCCAUGCCGCGUGCGGGAAGAAGGCCUUCGGGUUGUAAACCGCUUUUGUUCGGGAAGAAAUCCUCUGGGCUAAUACCCCGGGGGGAUGACGGUACCGGAAGAAUAAGCACCGGCUAACUACGUG
This 484-nucleotide ribosomal RNA is filed under the name uncultured bacterium. RNAcentral describes it as "partial 16S ribosomal RNA". It matches the Rfam family "Bacterial small subunit ribosomal RNA", at positions 28 to 507 of the family's 1533-position model. The record is from RNAcentral.